AUUGAACGCUGGCGGCAGGCCUAACACAUGCAAGUCGAGCGGUAGCACAGGAGAGCUUGCUCUCCGGGUGACGAGCGGCGGACGGGUGAGUAAUGUCUGGGAAACUGCCUGAUGGAGGGGGAUAACUACUGGAAACGGUAGCUAAUACCGCAUAACGUCUACGGACCAAAGUGGGGGACCUUCGGGCCUCACGCCAUCAG
RNAcentral lists this ribosomal RNA (200 nucleotides) under uncultured bacterium. RNAcentral's name for it is "partial 16S ribosomal RNA". It matches the Rfam family "Bacterial small subunit ribosomal RNA", at positions 30 to 224 of the family's 1533-position model. The record is from RNAcentral.